This 28-nucleotide small RNA is filed under the name Bombyx mori (domestic silkworm). Its description in RNAcentral is "ovarian small RNA-12884". Lineage: Eukaryota; Metazoa; Arthropoda; Insecta; Lepidoptera; Bombycidae. The record is from RNAcentral.
CACAAGCUUCGGUAAUAAACGAUGCCUG